AACCACCUGGAGUCGGACUGGAUCCAGGGUCAUACUGGUCCAACUUGGCAACCAGACUGAGUCCAGGGUGAAGACUCUGGUGAAUAAAAUUUUGUUUUAAGGCUGAACCAAAAGGUUAACCUAACCAAAGAGAAUUGUGAAUUACAGUGACCACAGCGGAGAACCUUUAACCUAGAGAAGCUUAUCCAUUUAGGAGAUGCCCUAGAGAAAAUGGGGUCUCAGCCAAGGACUCGCCAUAAAAAGUAGACAGAAGUUUAUUUAUCCCCCUCUACAGUUUCUGUGACCAGGAUGAGACCCGCUGGGACACCUCACGUGCUUCGGAGCCUGCAGAUGGGAUCCUGGGAAAACUGGCACAAGCCAGGAAAGGAAACUUACUUUUCUACUCUGAUGCUUUUGCAAAUAAAUGUUCCUACAAAAGUGCUUCUUCAUCUUCCAGACGACUCAUGGGAAGGACUCUAACAAGUACAAGUUUCUGAUAACUUCCAGACCACACCACUGAGUAAGAAUUGGCAGAGCUCUAAGGGAAAGACUGACAGUUUCAUAAAACUAACAAAAGAUCAAGAUCAACAAGAAUUAGUUACAUUGGACUGAAUGAACUGAUAAAGAUGAUUUUGUAAUUUUUAUGACUUUUGUUUGAAACACUGUGGUGUUGUUUUUCUAGAGUUAGGAAAAUCUGUCUUUUCUCUUAAACUAUCAUUAGUUUGGUAAAAUGUACCUUUGUAAACAAAGAUGAAACAUUUAUCUUUUCUCCUUAUCUGAUUCCUCCAGAAUUUGGAAACUCCAUUCUUAUUUUCAUGGAGAUACAGUUAUUUGCUUAAGUUCAAUAAGAAUCUGUUCUCCUUGCAACAGGAUACAAUUGGAAACAUUGGUUAUAUGACCAAGACUUUGAUGAAAUGUCAUAUUUGAGAAUAUGCAUAAAAUCAGAUGUGAGAAGAUAGUUUGAAGGAACUAAAGUUGACUUAUGGAGCCAAAAAAGUCCCUGGGAACAAAGAGCCUGGCACCUUGCUUACAGAGUUCUCAGCAACCUUAGCAGGUGAGUAAGGUAGGUCACUUCCUGGCAGACCCAGGAACUUCAAGAUAUCCUGGGGACCUCAUGAAGAGAAGAAUUCACCCAAACAGAUAGGUAUUGCAAGUGAAGUCUGAUGGUGAGUUCUUGGCCUGGCUUCUUAGCCUGGAGAGGCUAUAAAAGUCCUAUCUAAGACUCCCUGUGAAAAGUUCCAGAAAAGCAGAUUUUUAAAAGGUCUAAUAUGGUCAAUCGCUAUUCUUGCUGCACUUAUGUAAAUAAUCAGGCCAACUUUAAUAAGAUUAGAUUUAUUAUGCAAACAAA
Long non-coding RNA from Leopardus geoffroyi (Geoffroy's cat), 1327 nucleotides. RefSeq lists it as uncharacterized. NCBI's taxonomy places the organism in Eukaryota, Metazoa, Chordata, Mammalia, Carnivora, Felidae. The transcript is spliced from 2 exons. The record is from RefSeq and is a predicted model, not a curated record.